UGGGGAAUAUUGCACAAUGGGCGCAAGCCUGAUGCAGCCAUGCCGCGUGUGUGAAGAAGGCCUUCGGGUUGUAAAGCACUUUCAGCGAGGAGGAAGGUGGUGAACUUAAUACGUUCAUCGAUUGACGUUACUCGCAGAAGAAGCACCGGCUAACUCCGUGCCAGCAGCCGCGGUAAUACGGAGGGUGCAAGCGUUAAUCGGAAUUACUGGGCGUAAAGCGCACGCAGGCGGUUUGUUAAGUCAGAUGUGAAAUCCCCGGGCUCAACCUGGGAACUGCAUUUGAAACUGGCAAGCUAGAGUCUCGUAGAGGGGGGUAGAAUUCCAGGUGUAGCGGUGAAAUGCGUAGAGAUCUGGAGGAAUACCGGUGGCGAAGGCGGCCCCCUGGACGAAGACUGACGCUCAGGUGCGAAAGCGUGGGGAGCAAACAGGAUUAGAUACCCCUGGUAGUCCACGCUGUAAAACGAUGUCGAUUUUGGAGGUUGUGCCCCUUGAGGCGUGGCUUCCGGAGCUAACGCGUUAAAUCGACCG
This 528-nucleotide ribosomal RNA is filed under the name uncultured bacterium. RNAcentral describes it as "partial 16S ribosomal RNA". It matches the Rfam family "Bacterial small subunit ribosomal RNA", at positions 355 to 871 of the family's 1533-position model. The record is from RNAcentral.